Long non-coding RNA from Neofelis nebulosa (Clouded leopard), 2063 nucleotides. RefSeq lists it as uncharacterized. The transcript has 2 exons. Lineage: Eukaryota; Metazoa; Chordata; Mammalia; Carnivora; Felidae. The record is from RefSeq and is a predicted model, not a curated record.
CCGCGCUCCGCGCCGGCCGCGCCAUGGGGGAGGGGCGGGGCGGGCCGCGCGAGACCCGGGAAACAUGGCUGCUCGUCCUAUUUCGGCGUCGCGGCGUGGCCACCAGCCCCCGGAUCCGAGUUGGGAGAGGCUCCGAAGAGGCUCCCGCGCCGGCGGAAUUCAAUCAAUAAACCCCGAACCCACGGCCGCGCGUUUUAGGACUUUGAAGGCUCAACCAGCUCCGCUCGGUUCUCGAGCCCCCAGCACCCGCGGCGCACACUAACCUGAUCACGGUGGAGGCGGGACCUGCGGGCCGGCGGAUGAGCGGCAACAGCUGGAGCCAAUCGCCGCCGAGGGUCUCCGGGCAACAGCCAAUGGUGGCAGCGGCGGGGGGGGAAGGGACCAAUGGGCGGGCUGCGCAGCCGGCCAGGGAGGCUCAGCCAUUUGGUUGUGGUGCCGGAGACGGACCCCUUUAGAUUUCGGGGCGGCUGAGGAGCGCGGCGGCUGCUUGGUGGCUGAGCUAGGGGGGUGGGCAGAAUGGCGGGGGAAGGGAAGGUGACUGCGCCUCGAGAGCCUAGCCGCUCGGCCUCGCCAGCCCGCCGCCGCCGCCUCAGCGUUUGGCCGGGGGCGGGGCCGCAGGUGCGUUACUCGAGGGGGAGGGGCGCGGCCGGAGGGGUCGGGGUCGGGAUCCUAGCAGGGCCGAGGGCUUCGCGGGGACGCCCUGGGCCUGCCCGCAUCGCUGGAGCGGGUUGGUGAAAGAGGUGGACGUCCGGCGCGAGGUCUCGGGGCCGCGGGCUGCCCCGCGGGCGGGCUGAUGAAAGGCCUGGAAAGAGGGGGGAGGGGUCAAGGGUGCAGUGGGAGGAGGGGCUGGUCAUUUUCUGGGUCCGGAGGGCCGAGCGGUGGAGCGUGGCUGCUGCCCUCCACCCCCUCCGCGGGUUCCCACCCCCCGGCUGCGGCUCGCAGCCCGCGCGCCCCUUCGCCUCCCGCCUCGUCCUCGUCCAGCCGCGGCCAUCGCCGCCCCUCUAAUAAACAAGUAAAUGAAAGCAAGAUGCGUCCACCUUUGGAUGACUUUCCUCGCGGUCUUGACCCUCUCUACGGAGGGGCAUUUCAAUUUGCUGUCAUGUAAGGUCAGCCUGGAAGGAGCGAUCACCAUGAGGCACCCAGGAUCUUGUUCAGCCAAUAAAUGAAUGGAGACCAUGGAUUAAGAGUUGUUGCUGAAUAUACUGAAUAUUAAAAAAAAAAAAAAAAAAGUGAAAAGGGAAGGUGCUAAUAACUUCUGGUUUUCUGGUCCAAACAAUUUGAUGGGCUUUGUAGACCUAGUGAAAGGAAACGGCGCACAGUUUAUUCUAAUCGUCCACCUGACUCAUUUGGUUCAAUUUGGGUUGCCAAAGAGGCUCUAUUUGGAGCACUUUCUCCAGGUUUUACGGUUUGCUUGCUUUGGGUUUUUUUUGUUUUGUUUUGUUUUGUUCUGUUUUGUUCAUCACAUUAGUUUUUAGACCUUAAAACCUUCAUCCCCACUGGGUUACCUACUUCUUAUGGCCAGGCCUUGGACCUUGUCAUGUACUAUGUUGGCUGCCUAUGGCUGUUAAUAAAUCAUGGGAAUUGUUGUCAACAAGGACGGAUCCAUCGUUACCCUUCCACACAAGUGUUUUUCAGUGCUUCUAUUUCUGUGUCCACACUUUUCCUUAUACACGCCAAGGUGGUUUUUACGUAGGGAUACAUUGUAUUUUAUUUUUCAGGCACAUGGGUUCAAGGGAGCGAUAAAGCAGUAUGUAUGUUGCAAAUUUGAAAUAUUGUUACAUAACACCAAUACAGUUUCAUUCUUGAGCAUAUAAAGUUGAGGAGGAAAUAGAAAGUGACGGAAUGUAAAUAAAACGCAGAGAAUGCUCACACUGGGGAAGAAACUGUAGUAACUCUGAUACUGUAACCUGAUGGAUUGUAAACUUAAAAUCCUACAGCCAAGCAUUUUACUCAGUAAAUUUUUCUUUCAGAUAAAAUAAUAAGUGGAAUUUGAAAAGUGAUAAUGUUUACCCUGAGUAGCUGGGAAAUCCAAAAUAAAAAUGGAAAGCCAUUGUUUUAUUUCA